RNAcentral lists this ribosomal RNA (100 nucleotides) under Blastodinium sp. ex Paracalanus parvus. RNAcentral describes it as "partial 18S ribosomal RNA". It matches the Rfam family "Eukaryotic small subunit ribosomal RNA", at positions 1732 to 1831 of the family's 1831-position model. Lineage: Eukaryota; Dinophyceae; Blastodiniales. The record is from RNAcentral.
UUUCUUCUCGCUGUAGCAGAAAGUUUAGUGAACCUUAUCACUUAGAGGAAGGAGAAGUCGUAACAAGGUUUCCGUAGGUGAACCUGCUGAAUUUAAGCAU